RNAcentral lists this long non-coding RNA (1772 nucleotides) under Cucumis sativus (cucumber). Its description in RNAcentral is "long non-coding RNA (CSAT_LNC001897)". The record is from RNAcentral. Lineage: Eukaryota; Viridiplantae; Streptophyta; Magnoliopsida; Cucurbitales; Cucurbitaceae.
UCGAGACAAGCCCAGAAGACAGAAGACAAAUCGGACUUCUCACGCGCUCUCACGCGCCGGCGCGUGGGUGAAGGUGACGAUGAUUCCGGCGGCGCGUGAAGGUCACGCGCGGUGUUUUCCGGCGAUCGGCGAAGACAGACUUGGGCGGACGGAGGUGGUGCUUCUUAUGGUAUGGGCGGUGUCGACAAAUGGUCACCGGAAGGUAACCCAAACUCCAAACCUAAUGGAGGUUGACAAAUGGUCACCGGAAGGUAACCCAAACUCCAAACCUAAUGGAGGGCUCUGAUACCAUGUAAUUUAGAAUUCAGAAACGUAUAUGUCUUAUUCUCAUUGAGUCAAAGCAAUGUUACAUAUUUAUAUAGAGAAUAAACUAAACCCUAGAGACUAAGUAAAAUUACAAUAAAGGACAUAUGUAUAUAUAUAUAUCAUAACAUGAAGAAACCAACAGAAAACCCAUAAGGACCAGGAGCCUUACCACUAUCCAUAGAAAAUAACACCCUUCUAACCUCCUCACGUCCAAUAGAAGCCUAUAACGCCUGGUAACAGUCCUCACACCACAUAAACUGAUUAAUCAAGGGAGACAACUCCCUAUAGCCAAUAACCUGGGAUCCCAAACUGUUACAAAAAUAAUUAACGGCCAACUAACCAUCCCAUAAUGAGAAGUCAACCAGGAGCCAUCCAAAUCAACCACAGAAAGCACAAAAUUACGGCUCAUGCAAGAAUGAAUAAAACAAUGGAAGAAGGCAAUAUUCUGAUCACCAAGCUCCAACCACCAAAUCCUGGAUUUCUGGCAAAGAGAGGCUGUCACACUCCCUCUCAAACUACCUGCUAGCUUAGCCCAAAAGACAACAUGAAGCCGACUAUCAUCGUUCUCCUCUAACAACACCUACUGACUCUACUGAAUUCUUGAACCUGAUAUAUAUGUUAAUCUUAUAUAUAAAAUACCUUAUAUGAACACAACACAAAGGAACCUAGACAAUUCAUAGACAUACAUGAAAUAUAGCCCUGGAAUAACUCACUUAGCCAUCAAACCUGAUGGAGAGAUCAUAACUAGAAGGAUUUCCAUCAAAGGUUUACUUAAUCACAAUGCCCAAAGCUUACACAAACUGUAAAGUAUCAAAAUCUUGCAAAGACAUAUAUACACAUAACAAAACAGACUCUAUAAACAACUUUCUCAAAUACUUAGAUGUAGCCAUUAAAAUCUAGCAAGGCAUAUCAAGUCUAUUAAACAUUUUAACUAUCAUGAAAAAUCUACUUAUGUAGGGGACGCUGAUAGAACUAAGUCAUGCACAGCGGAAAAAGAAUCGAAUUUCUACCCUAAUUGCCACAAUUAACAUGUAACCAUAAACUAAUCAAAUUAGGGUUUUAAGAAGUAUUACCUUUGAAGCUUACAAAAGGUUUGAUGUCUUCUUACCAAUUCUUCCCGAGACCACCACUAGUACUCAACUGCUAUCCUCUAGACAAAGAACCGGGUUGUGGGACCCAAUUUUGGUGUAGAAAGUAAUGGAGAUAAAAUGAGAUUGGAAGCUUUCUUUUUUCUUUUGUUGAGAUUAUGAAAAUGAUAAAAGAGGCAAAAGUCCUUCAACAUUUGAAAACAUCUCUAUUUAUAGCCUAAUUACAUGCAAAAAUGCAUGCAAUUCAUUUGCCAAAUCUCAACACCUAAUGUUCCACUAACAAUUAGUGGAACUUAGUGGGCUAGGUGUCUAUAUCUCAUAUAGCCACAUAUCCCACUAAGAGUUAGUGGGAUUAUCCAACAAAAUGUUGGAUUUUCC